GCGUUGGUGGUUCAGUGGGAGAGUUCUUACUUUCCAUGCAAGAGACCCGGGUUCAAUUCCAGGCCAGUGCA
RNAcentral lists this transfer RNA (71 nucleotides) under Loxodonta africana (African savanna elephant). It matches the Rfam family "tRNA". From Rfam's summary of the family: Transfer RNA (tRNA) molecules are approximately 80 nucleotides in length. Their secondary structure includes four short double-helical elements and three loops (D, anti-codon, and T loops). Lineage: Eukaryota; Metazoa; Chordata; Mammalia; Proboscidea; Elephantidae. The record is from Rfam by way of RNAcentral.